CUCUAAUGAGACUGCCGGUGACAAACCGGAGGAAAGUGGGGAUGACAUCAAGUCCUCAUGGCCCUUAUAGGUGGGGCUACACACGUCAUACAAUGGCUGGUACAAAGGGUUGCCAACCCGCGAGGGGGAGCUAAUCCCAUAAAACCAGUCGUAGUCCGGAUCGCAGUCUGCAACUCGACUGCGUGAAGUCGGAAUCGCUAGUAAUCGUGGAUCAGAAUGUCACGGUGAAUACGUUCCCGGGUCUUGUACACACCGCCCGUCACACCAUGGGAGCGGGUUCUGCCAGAAGUAGUUAGCUUAACCGCAAGGAGGGCGAUUACCACGGCAGGGUUCGUGACUGGGGUG
Molecule: ribosomal RNA, 345 nt
Filed under: Variovorax sp.
Lineage: Bacteria; Pseudomonadati; Pseudomonadota; Betaproteobacteria; Burkholderiales; Comamonadaceae
Description: bacterial SSU rRNA
Rfam family: Bacterial small subunit ribosomal RNA
Source: RNAcentral